UGGGGGCGCAAGCCUGAUCCAGCCAUACCGCGUGGGUGAAGAAGGCCUUCGGGUUGUAAAGCCCUUUUGUUGGGAAAGAAAUCCAGCUGGCUAAUACCCGGUUGGGAUGACGGUACCCAAAGAAUAAGCACCGGCUAACUUCGUGCCAGCAGCCGCGGUAAUACGAAGGGUGCAAGCGUUACUCGGAAUUACUGGGCGUAAAGCGUGCGUAGGUGGUCGUUUAAGUCCGUUGUGAAAGCCCUGGGCUCAACCUGGGAACUGCAGUGGAUACUGGGCGACUAGAGUGUGGUAGAGGGUAGCGGAAUUCCUGGUGUAGCAGUGAAAUGCGUAGAGAUCAGGAGGAACAUCCAUGGCGAAGGCAGCUACCUGGACCAACACUGACACUGAGGCACGAAAGCGUGGGGAGCAAACAGGAUUAGAUACCCUGGUAGUCCCUA
Molecule: ribosomal RNA, 437 nt
Filed under: Stenotrophomonas maltophilia
Lineage: Bacteria; Pseudomonadati; Pseudomonadota; Gammaproteobacteria; Lysobacterales; Lysobacteraceae
Description: bacterial SSU rRNA
Rfam family: Bacterial small subunit ribosomal RNA
Source: RNAcentral